GACGAACGCUGGCGGCGUGCUUAACACAUGCAAGUCGAACGGAAAGGCCCUGCUUUUGUGGGGUGCUCGAGUGGCGAACGGGUGAGUAACACGUGAGUAACCUGCCCUUGACUUUGGGAUAACUUCAGGAAACUGGGGCUAAUACCGGAUAGGAGCUCCUGCUGCAUGGUGGGGGUUGGAAAGUUUCGGCGGUUGGGGAUGGACUCGCGGCUUAUCAGCUUGUUGGUGGGGUAGUGGCUUACCAAGGCUUUGACGGGUAGCCGGCCUGAGAGGGUGACCGGCCACAUUGGGACUGAGAUACGGCCCAGACUCCUACGGGAGGCAGCAGUGGGGAAUAUUGCACAAUGGGCGGAAGCCUGAUGCAGCAACACCGCGUGCGGGAUGACGGCCUUCGGGUUGUAAACCGCUUUCGCCUGUGACGAAGCGUGAGUGACGGUGAUGGGUAAAGAAGCACCGGCUAACUACGUGCCAGCAGCCGCGGUGAUACGUAGGGUGCGAGCGUUGUCCGGAUUUAUUGGGCGUAAAGGGCUCGUAGGUGGUUGAUCGCGUCGGAAGUGUAAUCUUGGGGCUUAACCCUGAGCGUGCUUUCGAUACGGGUUGACUUGAGGAAGGUAGGGGAGAAUGGAAUCCCUGGUGGAGCGGUGGAAUGCGCAGAUAUCAGGAGGAACACCAGUGGCGAAGGCGGUUCUCUGGGCCUUUCCUGACGCUGAGGAGCGAAAGCGUGGGGAGCGAACAGGCUUAGAUACCCUGGUAGUCCACGCUGUAAACGGUGGGUACUAGGUGUGGGGUCCAUUCCACGGGUUCCGUGCCGUAGCUAACGCUUUAAGUACCCCGCCUGGGGAGUACGGCCGCAAGGCUAAAACUCAAAGGAAUUGACGGGGCCCCGCACAAGCGGCGGAGCAUGCGGAUUAAUUCGAUGCAACGCGUAGAACCUUACCUGGGUUUGACAUGGAUCGGGAGUGCUCAGAGAUGGGUGUGCCUCUUUUGGGGUCGGUUCACAGGUGGUGCAUGCCUGUCGUCAGCUCGUGUCGUGAGAUGUUGGGUUAAGUCCCGCAACGAGCGCAACCCUUGUUCACUGUUGCCAGCACGUUAUGGUGGGGACUCAGUGGAGACCGCCGGGGUCAACUCGGAGGAAGGUGGGGAUGACGUCAAGUCAUCAUGCCCCUUAUGUCCAGGGCUUCACGCAUGCUACAAUGGCUGGUACAGAGAGUGGCGAGCCUGUGAGGGUGAGCGAAUCUCGGAAAGCCGGUCUCAGUUCGGAUUGGGGUCUGCAACUCGACCUCAUGAAGUCGGAGUCGCUAGUAAUCGCAGAUCAGCAACGCUGCGGUGAAUACGUUCCCGGGGCU
Molecule: ribosomal RNA, 1346 nt
Filed under: uncultured bacterium
Lineage: Bacteria
Description: partial 16S ribosomal RNA
Rfam family: Bacterial small subunit ribosomal RNA
Source: RNAcentral